RNAcentral lists this ribosomal RNA (567 nucleotides) under uncultured archaeon. Its description in RNAcentral is "bacterial SSU rRNA". It matches the Rfam family "Archaeal small subunit ribosomal RNA", at positions 312 to 879 of the family's 1478-position model. The record is from RNAcentral.
CGCGAAUCGCCCUUCGGGGCGCACCAGGCGCGAAAACUUUACAACGCUGGCAACAGCGAUAAGGGGACCUCGAGUGCCAGGAUACAAUCUUGGCUGUCGUGAUGCCUAAAAAGCAUUACAUAGCAAGGGCCGGGCAAGACCGGUGCCAGCCGCCGCGGUAACACCGGCGGCUCGAGUGGUAACCGCUAUUAUUGGGUCUAAAGGGUCUGUAGCCGGCCGGAUAAGUCUCUUGGGAAAUCCAGCAGCUCAACUGUUGGGCUUCCAGGGGAUACUGUUCGGCUCGAGGCCGGGAGAGGUGAGAGGUACUUCAGGGGUAGGGGUGAAAUCUUGUAAUCCUUGAAGGACCACCAGUGGCGAAGGCGUCUCACCAGAACGGUCCUGACGGCAAGGGACGAAAGCUAGGGGCACGAACCGGAUUAGAUACCCGGGUAGUCCUAGCCGUAAACGAUACUCGCUAGGUGUCAGCCACGGUGCGACCGUGGUUGGUGCCGUAGGGAAGCCGUGAAGCGAGCCACCUGGGAAGUACGGCCACAAGGCUGAAACUUAAAGGAAUUGGCGGGGGAGCAC